GCCCAGGUAGCUCAGUCGGUAGAGCGAGGGGCUGAAAAUCCCUGCGUCGCUGGUUCAACUCCGGCCCUGGGCA
Molecule: transfer RNA, 73 nt
Filed under: Deltaproteobacteria bacterium
Lineage: Bacteria; Pseudomonadati; Myxococcota; Myxococcia
Also listed under: 2 other names
Description: tRNA-Phe
Rfam family: tRNA
About the family: Transfer RNA (tRNA) molecules are approximately 80 nucleotides in length. Their secondary structure includes four short double-helical elements and three loops (D, anti-codon, and T loops).
Source: RNAcentral